AAAAAUCCUUCUGGGCUGAAGCCUGCGGCCUCGGCUGCACGGUUUUGCCCAACACACACCUUUGUGAACCAUGAACGUAUUUUGGUGAAGCCUCCGCGGGGUCUUCCUCGCGCGUGGGAUGUCUGCUGGCGCCCAUGCUUUAUUGCGUUGGGGACGGCUGCAUCCGUUCGCUUCACCGACCAACACCUGUUUUCACUUUUGUUGUGCAUAAUAAAGAGAAAUCAAUGAGAAA
RNAcentral lists this unclassified non-coding RNA (232 nucleotides) under uncultured Chytridiomycota. RNAcentral describes it as "sequence contains ITS1". The record is from RNAcentral. Lineage: Eukaryota; Fungi; Chytridiomycota.